Molecule: long non-coding RNA, 8626 nt
Filed under: Lactuca sativa (garden lettuce)
Lineage: Eukaryota; Viridiplantae; Streptophyta; Magnoliopsida; Asterales; Asteraceae
Description: long non-coding RNA (LSAT_LNC004475)
Source: RNAcentral
AUGAACGACACAGCUAGUAAAGUCUAAAACAUCCGGUAAUCCUAAGUGGGUUGUUUCAAAAAUACCGUGUUACCUUAAGGCCAUGAAUUAUAAGGUAGACAUAGAGAUACUCGUAACCAUACUGAUUGACACUAGGGUACUUGACGCCCUGCAAGCGUCGGAAUAAAUGUGACAUUUGUCACCCCUUGGCUUGGUAGGCCGGGGAUUGUAGCUAGCAGUCAGGGUGCGGAAGUGUCAGUCCCGUAUAGAUCUAUACACACAAUGCCCGCUCUCCCUCCAGGAGACUCUGGUUACCAACUUGACGACGGGGAGAUCCGUGUCUUGAAGAUGCAUCUCGUAUUUUGAAUUCUGUUGUAAGUACUGGAAUAACAAUAUAUAAUCGCGAAUGAACUGACCCCUUUGGAAUUCUCUGGACUAGAAAGAGUGAUUAGAAUCUCCUAACUAUUCCUAUAAUAGUUACUAGUGUCUCUGAUCUAUGAAUGAUGAAUGGAAGGAUGCCCUUGCUACCCAAGGGAAAUAAACUGGUCGAUGGAAACCUUUAUGUCCAUAUAUGUAUACAUGAUAUAUAACUAAUGUUUAAACGACCUUCAGACAGAUAACCGAUACCCACCAGACCACAUCCCAACGAGGAAAAGGAAAUAGGGCGAACUAGCCUUCCUAAGUCCUUUAAACAUUAUUUAUAUAACUAUACAAAAAUCGGCAUGCAUUUAACGAAGUAAAUGCAUAGAAGGAAAAAUUUGACGAAACCUUUGGAAAACUUUCAUACAUAAGAAAUUUACGACUUGGUGUCAUUUUGUAAAACAAGUUUUGAAAAUCUUUGGAAUCCUUUGAAAAAACCAUUCAUAAAUAGCUUUGAAAGUGAUUUUUAAUAAACAGUUUAAGUGAAGAAAACCUUUGGAAAACCUUUAACAAGAAAUUACGACUUGAUGUCUCUUUAGUAACCAAGCUUGAAAAACCUUUGGAAAACCUUUCGAAUACUUAUGAUAAUCUAGACGAGAAAUUUAUACUUUAGCAAGAGUUGAAAGCGAGAUUGGAACAUCUUAAGCUGGAUAAAACAGUUAACAUGCAAAAAUCUAUUUUGCUAUACAGUUAUUAAUCACAUGUGAUUUAUCUAAUAACUGUACAGUUCAACUUGCAUUCCUCCCUAUAAAAGCAGUCAAAAUCAUUUAAAAGGUUAAUUAAGGGGUAUGAACUCACCUGCUGCGGGUGGAUCGGACGGAGGUGUCGGUUGAGUGCUCGGUGUCAAGUAAAGACUUGAACACAACUUAAUGACCUAGUAACAUAUGAAGACAUAUGUUUACAUAUAAUUAGUGACUAUAACACUAAUUAAACACGUAUAAGCAUCCUAAUGUGCGGAAAAACACUUUGGUCAAGUGCUAGGAGGCUAUUGGGUUACAAUAAGGAAGUGUAUGGCCUAGUUAGGGAGUUUACUCUUCAAGAGUAAACUCUUUAUGGAGAUUUCGGCCCUAAGACCAUAUCCCCAUGAGUUUACGGCCGUAAACUCAUGGGUGGUGUGUUUUUGGAUGCUACAAGGUCUUACAACACUUGUGGAAUUAGGCUAGGUUCAAUUCUAGGGUAUAGGAAGGGGUUAAGGCUCCAAAUGAACCAUUUAAGGGAGUUCACGGCUGUAAGCAUAGAGUUUACGGCCGUAAACUCUCACUUGGUACUUCAAUUCAUGAUUUAAGGUCUUAAAUGAAAGAAUAUAAGGUUCUAUGCAUUAUUCUAAGUCAAAGGGGGAAGUUAGGGCAUCAUUUGGCCUCCUUCAGGGAGUUUACGACACAUGGACCAAUCCUUGGGGGGUUUACAGCCGUAAACUCCUAAGUCCAUAGUUUCCUUGAUGUUUAAGGGUCCUACUUCGAUGGUGGUUGAUUCUAGACAUUUACUCAAGCCUUAGGAGGUGUUUAAGGGAAAAUUUAACACCUUAAAUGGUGUUCACGGCCCAAGAAGAGGGGUUUACGGUCCAAGAGUGUUCUUGGGCCGUAAACUCAUGUUUACUCUUCAAAAGACAAGGUUUUGGUGUUCUAAGCUCAUAGAUGCAAGUCCACAAGUCAUAUCUAUGCCCUAGGAGUGAUUUAGAAGGGUUUUGGGGCUUCAAAACCCCACUUAUGGGUGUUUGCGGUCCAAGAGUGUUCUUGGGCCGUAAACACAAGAUUUUGCCACUUUUGGAUGUCUUAAACACGAAUUUGCAUGUUAAAUGGGCUAAACAACAAGUUAGGAUAGAUCACUUACUAGUUUGGAGCUUGAAAGAGGCGUUUUUAGAUCAAAAUCGGCUUUGUAGAGAGAGGGUGCUAAGAGUGGGAAAGGCUUCAAAGUGACAAAUCAAUCCCUUAUAUAAGGGUUGUGUUUGUGGCCCGGUGGAAAUCUACCUGAUACUGACGUUAAACGGGGCUUAUGGUCAUACCCGAUUUAAAUGGUCGUAAUUUGACUUGAUUGUAACUAAAACUUUUCAAGGGAAUAUUAAGGGUGUUUCACGUGUUUCUAAUUUGUUCCGACUCUUAUGCAGGCAUAAUAAAGUCCCAAUUUAAUUAACCUAAUCCAAAAGGUUAACGAACAAUUUAAUAAAGUGAGUUUUAUUAACGGAAGAAGAUGUUAAAAUGACGGGAUAAAUUUUAGGUUGUCACAUCAAGAUCAAAACUUUAGAUUGCAUUCUUAUUGAGCUUGGAUUUUUUCCCUUAUUCUUCAUGUUAAGGAAGUUGGAAUGGAUGGAUUCCAUAAAGUUGGAAAAUUUAUGGAUCCUUUAGGUCAUUUUGGUGACAUGUGCUCCAAAUCUUGGAUUCCUUGGAGUAUUUAGACUCAUGCACAAGUUUGAGCUCUUUCCUUGCAUGGUUUCGACCUGUUUUGGAUGAGACAUACAUGUCUAUAAAGCACUGAUUUUUAUGAUGCAUUUGGAGUAUAAUAGUAUUUUAAAAGUUUGGUUGUGUGACUUUGGUGAUUAAUAGCUUAAUGGAUGGCUCAUGACAUGAGAGGUUACUAAGGACUUAGGUUUAGGGAUCUUGCCUUAUUAGGGUGUCUUAAUGGAUAAAGUUGGAAUGUAACAACGUAAAUUUUCAAAACAAAUUUUCAUUUUCAAAACAUUCAUUUACUCACAAAAUAACACCAAACAUAUUGUAUCAAAUGUAUUUUUCACAAAAACAUCUCCCCAGAAUCCAAAACAUAAACUCCUCAAGUGUGUACGGAUCAUGCCGGCGCCUUCCCGCGCUCAUCACUGGUACCUGAAACACAUCACACAACAACUGUAAGCAUAAAUGCUUAGUGAGUUCCCCAAAAUACCGCAUACAACACAUACGCCACUCAAGGCUAUAAUACGACCCUCCGGUCGAUGUGUCUCAGCGGGACCCUCCAGUCCCGUAGCUCGUUGGACCCUCUGGUCCGGUCAUAGCUCGUUGGGCCCUCCGGCCCGGUCUGUAUCGUUGGACCUUUCGGUCUGGUCUAUAACAACAUACAACAUACACAUAACACAUAUCACAUAAUCUCAUACAUAACACAUAAGACCCUCUGGUCUACACAAUAUACCACUCUAGGUAAUGUAUAGUGAGAAGACUCACCUUGAUGUCUCGGUAAAUAUCUGACUCGGAAUAAAUGUGAUCUAGCCUCCACCUAAUCACACAAAGUAAUACACUCAUAAAUACAACUGUACUCAACCCUAAAAGUCAACAAGGUCAACGAUCAACUUUGAACGGACUCGGCGAGUGCACUAGGGCGACUUGGCGAGUCUACUCGUGUCCACUGACUCUCUUAGAUCCUCUCUUGACACGCCGAGUACCUCCCUGACUCGACGAGUUCCACCUAGCAUGAAUCGCGGGGCCACCACGACUAAACUCGCCAAGUCUCAAGAACAACUCGGCGAGUUCCGGCUUGAACCCAGUCCCCCUGACUCACCCCGACUCACUGAGACGUUCCCUCAACUCGACAAGUCCACUCACUGAGUGAUUACGGGCAAACUUCAUACUACUCGCCAAGUCUGUUCUUUAGACUCGGCGAGUUCAUGCCAUGCAUAAACUCAAAACCACUUCUGAGGUCAGAUCUGUUCCAUCCAAUCAUAGAUCUGCCCCCCCUCCCCCCAAGCAUGAUAAUCAUGUAAAGUCCAAACCUUGAUGCUCAAACAACCUCUAUUUGCUCCUAUAUGAUGUUUUAGCCCCAUUUUUCAUAAUCCAUGGUCAAAACUCCCAUGAAUCCUCAAAAAGCUUGAGGAAUAAAGUUUCUCUGGACCUCUAUGGAUCCCAUCCCAAGCCUCAUCACAAUUAGGGACGAAAUGGACAUCAAAUCUAACCAACAAAGAGGUCAAGAAACCUUAAACCUCCAUGUUUAUCAUAACAACAGAAAGGGAGCCAAAAUAUUACCUCCAAAUUGAUGCUCUGAGCUCCAAAUUCGAAGAAUGUCCACCUCCCUUGCUUCCUCUUAGCUAGAACCUCCUUUGGCUUGCCAAACAAUGCUUCAAAGGUUAACAAUGGCCUCCUCUCUCUCCCAAAACGCUCAAGAUCACUUUAGGGUUUCUCUCUGGGGUUGGUGGCCGCAAAUGAAGGCCAUAAGCCCCUUUAAAUAGGUCUCAAACCCUGGAAAUUAGGGUUUCAUUAAACAGCGUGGACUCGUCGAGUCCAGACGCGAACCCACAUGCAAAAACCGCGAUCCUACUCGGCGAGUUUAGACUCCAACUCGCCGAGUCUCCUCACAACACCCAAAAAUAAAAGAAUAAAAAUAAUACCUGGGAAUCCGGAUGUUACAUGGAAACUUUAUACAUCCUAGAACUUAGGAAGAAUCAGAUAUAGGCUGUGGAGUCCUUAGUUUAGAUAGAAAAUAUCUUAAUGCAUUAAUUUGCUAAGUUAUGGUCAACGUGACAUCUUGGCAUCUACAACGUGGAGACUAAAGAAAACCCAAAUGUUUUGUAUGUUGUGUGCCACAACGUGGCCAAUAGCAGGUCACGACAUGGUAACUCCUUAAAGUUGGAAUUUGGAUCAUUUGCCUUUGACCAUUGACCCAUUGACUUUUUGACUUGGUAGACUUUUGGUAAAUUUGCCAGUUUGGGUUGGUGGACUAAAGGUUUACCUUGUGUGGUUUAUUAGGUGGUGUUUAACACAUGUUUUGCCUUCAAGAUCCUGAUAGCUUGUAUGACGCGUCUGAGUUAAGUGUUUUCACUAUAUUGUAAGAUGCAAGACUGUCUUUGUGACUCUUGCAUGUAUGAAUGGGUUGGGCCCGAUUAUGUAGGUUGGGCUUGAGUCUGUGGGUGGGGCCCUAUUGCAAGGGUUUGGCUCAGAUGAAUCGAUUAUAGGCUCGAAUGCAUGUAUGAUAGGUUGGGUCCGUUACUUGUAUGAUAAGUGGUAUUUUUGGGGAACUCACUAAGCUUUGUGCUUACGGUUUUGCGUUUACAUGCUUCAGGUACUUCCUUUCGAAAGGGAAGAGCUCGACUUGAUUGCACUGCAUCCACUUGGAGUUUUAUUCCACACUUUCUAUGUUGAUUCCACUCCAAUGUUGAGAAUAUUAUAUGUUUUGAUUAGCUUUUGGAAAACAUGAUAUAUUUUUUGAUGGUUUUAAAAAAUGAAAAUUUUACUUGAUGUUUUGGGACGUUACAUGUUGCCUUUCCUGUUGUGAAACUUCAUUUUUCCUUUUAAAACUUCAGAAGUAGUUGUUGUGAAACUUAAGAAAUGAUUUUGGAGAGACUUCAUGCUUUCUUUUGUUUACUUUUGUGUCUUCCUUGUGGCUUUUUUUAAAAUCUUGCUUUUUCUUUCCCCUUUUUNUGGCUUGAAUGAAACUCAUGCUUCAUCUUCCACUUUUCAAUUGAUGUUUAUUGGAGAUGAACUUUGGAGCUUUGUUGACAUCAAAUUUUCUACCUUUAAUUUUGAGCUUUAAACUUCUCCAAUGUCUCAUUUUGAGUGUAUUCUUAGAAUUGUUUUGAAAUUGAAAACGAAACAAGAUCUAACUUAGGUGAUUAAAAGAUAAAAGUUGUUAGAAUCAACAUCCUGGAUUGAACUCGAUUAGAUAAUAGAUCUGCUAGUGUUGUUACGAACAUGGUGAAGUGGCUUUACUCUUGUUCGGAGAAGAUGAAAUACAAUAGUGUAAUAUAUAUGGAAAUUCAAGAAAGGGACCAUUUAUUAUCAUUUUGAUAUUUGUUCUAUAUGAGAACUAAGUAUCAAUGUAUAAAUAUUGUAAAACCUGUAAGAAAAUUAAUAAAGCCUAUGCCCACAUAAAUGAAAACCACUUGUCACCAGUAGCGAGCUAGAACGUAAUACCACAUGGGUCACUAUUUAAAUAAAACCAAUAAAAAAUAAAAAAAACAAAAAAUAGUAGUUGUGGGUUCGAAUCGAGUCGAAUUGUAUAAGGGGGAAAAAUUAAGUUCUUACAAUUAUACCUAACGAGUAAUAAGUAUUAACAAAAGCUAAAUAGAUUUGAUGCUCAUGGAAUACAUAUUAACAAUGAAUAAUAAUUAAAAAAAACAAAAGUUAAAUAGAUUUGAUGCUCAUGGAAUAAAUAUUAACAAUGAAUAAUAAUUAAAAAAAACAACUGUGAUUGUAAUUAAACCUACAACUAAAUUAUCAAUUAUCAAUUCACAUGAUAGUUUUCCUGGUGGACUUUUUGAUGCUCAUGGAUAGAAUUUCAACAUAGUUUAUUUAACUUUCAUGUAGUUAACAAAGUAAAAUAUUUAUGGGUGAUGACAAAUUGGUUUGGUGGUUAUGAAGAUAGAAGGUUGAAGGGCUAUGAAUAUUGAAUUAUGCCUAAAAAAUAUUAGCCUAUUAUAAAUUAUAAACUUUAAAAAUAUGAUUUAUAUAUUUUUUUUAUCAUUAAGGUGGUUCAUUUAAUUUUAUUUUAAGGAGGUCACAAUUUUAAACUUUAUACAACUUGUUAUUAAAAAAAAGGUGGGUCAAGUGACCCACCAUAGUAACACUUAGCCUCGCCACAACUUGUCACUAUCAACGAGGCUCGAGUAAUCUCAUUUUUGAUUUCUUGUACUGUUGAAAUUGUCUAACACGUGUCCAUAGUUAAAUCUUUGUUUUAAAAAUAAUCUUAAAAUGAAUAGUUUCCAACAUAUCAAGAAAAUAAUUUUCACCUAAAUGUGAAAACAUUGUAGCACAUAGCCAAAAUUUAACCUUACUACCUGAAAUAUAUUACUAACCCUAAAGAAAAGUAUAAUAAUGAUCCGUUUGUUAAUGGUCACCAAGCUAAAAAUAUUAGUUAUGUACUUGAGCAAAAGGAAGAACCUCACCAUUUGGUAUUUUAGAAAACCAUUAGUAGAGUACUAAGCAAAUACAAUUUUUUUUUUUUUUGUAAAAACCUUGCAUUCAUCUAACAAAAGUAGAAAUAAGUAUUUGUUGUGUUUUUUUUUAUUUAUUUUUUUUGUCUAUUUUUUACUAUUUAAAGUAGGCAAAAGACUUAAACCUAAAAACAAGCAAUUUUUUUUUUGAAAUUUUCUAGUACUAAAAAAUGAAAAAAAAAAUAUUGUUUGAGUUUUUAAGUGAUUGUCUAAUUUUUUUUAAAGAAAAAAAAAUAAAAAUAAACAUUCAAUGUGUAAAUAAUUUGGAUUAAGCAUGUCGAUACGUCCUACGAAGUGUAAGAACCUAGACAAACUCUCUAUUUGGUAGGUUUAGUGUUUGAAUCUUAGGUGUUUCAGUUAGGAGUUAGUCACGAAAAAGUAUACGACGUACUGCGGUGUUUCAGUCCGGUUUCAGUCCGGGAUACAUUAUGUUAAGGUUCUCAAUGGUUUCCCAAAUCCCACUGCUGAUCUUAAUUUACUACAACGGCCGCAUGCUAGUUCCCUCUUUGCAAAUUGGAAUAGAUUCUAGUUAUUUAAAAACCAUUUUAUCCAUUUGUCAAUAUCUCGAACUUUGUACUCGAUUUUUGUAUGGAUACAAAUGUAUCACCAAUUAACUCUCUGAAAAUUGAGUAAUGAAGAAUGAUGAAUCUAACACAUUUUAACCAACACUAACCAAUACAAAAUAAUAUAUGUUGACAAACACAUGUUAAGAAAAUUAAGAACCAUUAAUUUAUUUUAUUGAAAAUGAUGUGAAUGCAUAAUUUUGUAGCAUAUGAAUUUGCAUUCCAAAGAAAACUCAAAAUGAUGUUUCAUUAUGCUCUCUCAAGUUAACAAAUCAGUAUCUAGCAACUAAUUUGGAGGAUACUUAAGAGUAAGCCGGGGACUGUAGCUAGCGGUCAGGGUGCGGGAGUGUCAGUCCCGUAUAUAUCUAUACACACAAUGCCCGCUCUCCCUCCAGGAGACUCUGGUUACCAACUUGACGACGGGGAGAUCUGUGUCUUGAAGAUGCAUCUCGUAUUUUGAAUUCUAUUGUAAGUACUGGAAUAACGAUAUAGACUCGCGAAUGAACUGACUCCUUUGGAAUUCUCUGGACUAGAAAGAGUGAUUAGAAUCUCCUAACUAUUCCUAUAAUAGUUACUAGUGUCUCUGAUCUAUAAAUGAUGAAUGGAAGGAUGCCCUUGCUUCCCAAGGGAAAUGAACUGGUCGAUGGAAACCUUUAUGUCCAUAUAUGUAUACAUGAUAUAUAACUAAUGUUUAAACGACCUUCGGACGGAUAGCCGAUACCCACCAGACCACAUCCCAACGAGGUAAAGGAAAUAUGGCGAACUAGCCUUCCUAAGUCCUUUAAACAUUAUUUAUAUAACUAUACAAAUAUAGGCAUGC